CCUACGGGUGGCAGCAGUCGAGAAUCAUUCACCAUGGGGGAAACCCUGAUGGUGCGACGCCGCGUGGGGGAAUGAAGGUCUUCGGAUUGUAAACCCCUUUCAUGUGGGAGCAAAUUAAGAAGAUAGUACAACAAGAGGAAGAGACGGCUAACUCUGUGCCAGCGGCCGCGGUAAUACAGAGGUCUCAAGCGUUGUUCGGAAUCACUGGGCGUAAAGCGUGCGUAGGCUGUUUCGUAAGUCGUGUGUGAAAGGCGCGGGCUCAACCCGCGGACGGCACAUGAUACUGAGAGACUAGAGUAAAGGAGAGGUAAGCGGAAUUCGCGGUGUAGCAGUGAAAUGCGUAGAUAUCGAGAGGAACACUCGUGGCGAAGGCGGGUUCCUGGACAGUAACUGACGCUGAGGCACGAAGGCGAGGGGAGCGAAAGGGAUUAGAUACCCGUGUAGUC
RNAcentral lists this ribosomal RNA (446 nucleotides) under uncultured bacterium. Its description in RNAcentral is "partial 16S ribosomal RNA". It matches the Rfam family "Bacterial small subunit ribosomal RNA", at positions 338 to 795 of the family's 1533-position model. The record is from RNAcentral.